Molecule: non-coding RNA, 24 nt
Filed under: Mus musculus (house mouse)
Lineage: Eukaryota; Metazoa; Chordata; Mammalia; Rodentia; Muridae
Also listed under: 1 other name
Source: RNAcentral
UACCUUCUGGUGUUUGAGUUCUGC